AUGCUGCUCAAGGACGAGAACGUCAACGUGGUCAAGAAAGCCAUCCUGACCAUGACCCAGCUCUACAAGGUGGCCCUGCAGGUGAGGACACACCUGGGACACCUGGGGACACCUGGGGGAACAUGGGGACACCUGGAACACACCUGGGACACACCUGGGACACACCUGGAACACCUGGGGACACCUGGGGACACACCUGGGAACAUACCUGGGGGAACAUGGGACACACCUGGAACACCUGGGGACACACCUGGGACAGCUGGGGACACACCUGGGGGAACAUGGGACACACCUGGGGACACCUGGGGACACCUGGGACACCUGGGGACACCUGGGGACACCUGGGACACCUGGGGCACACCUGGGGACACCUGGGACACCUGGGGGAACAUGGGACACACCUGGAGUACCUGGGGAUACACCUGGGACAGCUGGAACACAGCUGGGACAGCUGGGACACACCUGGGGGAACAUGGGACACACCUGGAACACCUCGGGACACACCUGGGGACACCUGGGGGGGACAUGGGGACACAUCUGGGGACACCUGGGGACACACCUGGGACACCUGGGGGGACAUGGGACACACCUGGAACACCUGGGGACACACCUGGGACACCUGGGAGAACAUGGGACACACCUGGGACAGCUGGGGACACACCUGGGAACAUACCUGGGGGAACAUGGGACACACCUGGGGACACCUGGGACACCUGGGGGGACAUGGGACACACCUGGAGCACCUGGGGACACACCUGGGGACACCUGGGGACACACCUGGAAUACCUGGGGACACACCUGGGACAGCUGGGGACACACCUGGGACAGCUGGGAGAACAUGGGGACACACCUGGAACACCUGGGGGAACGUGGGGACACCUGGAACACACCUGGGGGGACAUUGGACACACCUGGAACACCUGGGGACACACCUGGGGACACCUGGGGGGACAUGGGACACACCUGGAACACCUGGGGACACCUAAAACACACCUGGGGACGCAUCUGGAACACCUGGGGGGACAUGGGAAACACCUGGAACACCUGGGGACACCUAAAACACACCUGGGGACACAUGGAACACCUGGGGACACACCUGGGGACACACCUGGAACACCUGGGGGGACAUGGGAAACACCUGGAACACCUGGGGACACACCUGGAACACACCUGGGGGGACAUGGGAAACACCUGGAACACCUGGGGACACACCUGGAACAC
This 1221-nucleotide long non-coding RNA is filed under the name Cyanistes caeruleus (blue tit). Its description in RNAcentral is "lncRNA (ENSCCEG00000000374.1)". The record is from RNAcentral. Lineage: Eukaryota; Metazoa; Chordata; Aves; Passeriformes; Paridae.